RNAcentral lists this unclassified non-coding RNA (350 nucleotides) under soil metagenome. Its description in RNAcentral is "partial contains 5.8S ribosomal RNA, internal transcribed spacer 2, and large subunit ribosomal RNA". The stretch from base 1 to 120 matches the Rfam family "5.8S ribosomal RNA", at positions 35 to 154 of the family's 154-position model. The record is from RNAcentral.
GAUGAAGAACGCAGCGAAACGCGAUAAGUAAUGUGAAUUGCAGAAUUCAGUGAAUCAUCGAGUCUUUGAACGCACAUUGCGCCCCCUGGCAUUCCGGGGGGCAUGCCUGUCCGAGCGUCAUUGCUGCCCUUCAAGCCCGGCUUGUGUGUUGGGUCGUCGUCCCCCCCGGGGGACGGGCCCGAAAGGCAGCGGCGGCACCGCGUCCGGUCCUCGAGCGUAUGGGGCUUUGUCACCCGCUCGAUUAGGGCCGGCCGGGCGCCAGCCGGCGUCUCCAACCUUUUAUUUUACCAGGUUGACCUCGGAUCAGGUAGGGAUACCCGCUGAACUUAAGUAUAUCAAUAAGCGGAGGA